GGAUCCGUAGUGUAAUGGUUAACACAUCGCCCUGUCACGGCGAAAAUUACCGGUUCGAGCCCGGCCGGGUCCG
RNAcentral lists this transfer RNA (73 nucleotides) under Candidatus Shapirobacteria bacterium CG_4_10_14_0_8_um_filter_39_15. Its description in RNAcentral is "tRNA-Asp". It matches the Rfam family "tRNA". Rfam says of the family: Transfer RNA (tRNA) molecules are approximately 80 nucleotides in length. Lineage: Bacteria; Candidatus Shapironibacteriota. RNAcentral also lists the same sequence under 2 other names. The record is from RNAcentral.